This is a long non-coding RNA of Vicia villosa (hairy vetch), 2409 nucleotides long. RefSeq lists it as uncharacterized. The transcript is spliced from 3 exons. NCBI's taxonomy places the organism in Eukaryota, Viridiplantae, Streptophyta, Magnoliopsida, Fabales, Fabaceae. The record is from RefSeq and is a predicted model, not a curated record.
UUUCACAAAGCACAAGAAAACCAACCUGGACUUAGACUUAAACUAUCCAAGUUCACCACAUUACAAAAUCAUGCAGCAGAAGCAACAGAGAUAACUCAGAGCAUAGUAGCCAAUGUUUUUCAUAAACCUCAAUAUUCAAGAUGGUAGAACAUCAUGUACUUAUCAACAUAAGAAAAGUAACAGCAACACCAACAGUAGCAACAAUAACAAUUAACACUAGCUCUCCCUAAAUAGUUGCAUACAGCAAGCAACUAACUGGACUUUUAAUUAACAUUAACAUGUCAAAACAUGUGACAUGCAACAAUAUUUACUCCUGAACAAAUAAAAACAAUACUAAUCAUACUGAUAACAAUAAGCAUACUAUACUCCCCAUUUUUAGCCAAAAAUUUAAAUAAAUACUAUUAAAAUUCUAAAAUGAAUUUAGUUUAUUAUAAAAAAGUAUUUUUUUUUUAUAAAGUCAGUGUUUUAAAAAUUGGACCGAACCGACCGGUCAAACCGGUUGGACCGAGAACUGGAAGGGUCACUGGUCUGGUCUGAUUGUUGGAUCGGAUAUGCUAUCGAACCGCUGAGAACUGGCUAAAACCAGAAAAAAUUGGUGAACCGACAGUUUUAUAAAAUCGGCUGUUCUAAUGCAUGUGUUUUUUCUCAUACAAAACAAUGUCGUUUUCAUGAUUUUUUUUAUAAAAAAUAUAAUUAGACUUUAUUUAAAUUUAUAUUUUGUAUUGUUUUGUUGUGAGUGAUAAUUAUAUUUAGAAUUUAAAUGUAAAGAAUAAACAUGUGAAAUUAUGAUAUUUUGAAAUUUUAAAAUUUUGUAGGUGUUGUGAUAUUUUUUAGAGGUUGAGUCAUCCGGUUCGAUCGAUUUAAUAAAAAUAUAGUAUUGCAAUAGAGACUGAUUUAUUCAACUGAGUUAUCCGAUUUAAUCCGACUUAGUCAUGCGGUUCGACCAGUAACCCAGUGGUUCGACCAAUGAACCACUAACCCGAUACCCUCAUCGAUUUGAUGACCGACCCGAUUUUUAAAAUACUGAAUUCCAUGAAAACAUAUCCAUUAAUUAUUCUUUUGAUGAUAAGGUUUAAGAAAAUUAUAGAGGUUGGAAAACAGAGUUAAAAAGAUAACUUGAUGUGUAUCUACCCAAGACUAGUGUAAAUCACCCAUCAAUCUCCUAAUUAAAUUCAACGUAUCUCAUACAUUAUUCUCUCGUUCUUUUGAUGAUAAAAUUUUAGAAAAAUUUAGAAAUUAGGAAAAAGAGUUAACAAAUAACAAUUGAUCUGUACCUGCCUAAAACCCAGUACAAAUACAGCCCCCAACUAUGUCAUUUUUAAAAAUAUUAUUUCUUUUCCUUUAAAAAAUAUAAUAUUAUGUCUUUUCCUUUUUUAAAAAAAAUAACAACAACGCCUCAGCAACACGCAUGUGACACGCAUACGACCCCUUUAUAUAGUAAAAACGAAAGCAGAGUUUUCACAAUUUCCUCUUCUCCUUUAUACUUUCAUUCUAAUCAAUAUCUCUUGAUGUAGCUUUCUGCACACAUCCAUGGCUAAAAUUUCACGGUACAAUUGGAUCGUUGCGAUGAUGGCUGAGUUUUGUGACCGCUUGCUUCAGAACAUGUUGUUGCGAUGAAGACGAGUUCUUGAGUCUUGACCGUUUGGUGCAUCCUGCAAUCGUGUUGUGAAUUUAGUUACAUGAGGUUGAAAAUUCUGUGACUGUUGUUUGGGGGAUGAAGUGGUUCUCAAUAAUAUCUCUGUGAACCGACCUUUUGCCAUGAUGGGUGCGCUUGCAUGGCAGGUCCAAAAGAAAAUGAAUAAAAAAUAUUUUGUUGUUUGUGAGAGAGAUGUACGCGGGAAUUGUCCGGGAUCAUCUCCUUCUGGUGCUAUGCUUUCGUUUUUCUUUAGUGUUCUUCCACUUUUUUUUUUUUUUCUUUUCAGAAAGCAAGUGCUCUUCCAUUUAUCAAGACUCGUAGCCGAAGAUUUAUUAUUAUCUAUAGAUUUUCUCCGUUUUUGAUAUAACAAGAUAUUGCUGAAUGAAGUUUUUCAAAUAAAUCAAGGUAAUAGGUGUUUUGGUAUUUCCGCUGAACCUUAAUUUGUAUUUAUGAGAUUGUUGAGGUAAAUUGUAUAAUACUCUUUCUUUUAUAGGUAUUCAUCAUUCAGUUAAUAAUGAUAUUCAAUAUUACUUCAUUAUUUUAUUUUAAUAUAUUUAAAAAAAAUCUAUUUAUACUAAAGACAAUUUAAAUAUAUUUAUGGAUGUCAAAGAAUUUACUUUAUUUAUUAUUAAUUGUUUUAGAGGCUUACAAAAAUUAAGAAGUGUAAUUAAUUUUAUAUAGAAAAAAGAAAUUAAGAUUGAUUUUAUAAAAUUAACAUUCAUUAGGGUUAUUGAAAAAAAUAAACUUGAAGAAUUGAAAGAAGAGAGGUUAAU